CAUCACUCUGACAGCAUGCAGAAGGAAGACGCCUUGCGGAUUGCUGCGAGUGGCUUCCAGGAGGCUCGGGGAUGAGCUGCAAAAUGAGGAAUUAUUUAUCCGUGAAAAUGAAGGCUGAGAAGCGGAGAAGGAGGCUGACAUCUCCUGGGAGACGACAUCGGAGGAGGGACAUGUGAAUGAGCGAUUCUGCAGAACUUCAGAGCUCGUCCAGAAACUGAAAUGGAGCAUAGUGAAGGUUCAAAGAAGACCAGGUGGAGGACAAGGCUGGCCAAGACCAAAAGAAUGUGGGAACCUGCUUUAUGAGGUGUUGCUGGACCAGGACUACAGGCUUCUGCUCAUAAGGUCAGUCAUUAGCCCACCCAAAUCCUCCUGCCUUUUUCACCAAUGAGCCCUCCAGGUUCUCUGCGGUCGAAAGUGGAUCUGUUUUUAGGUGCUUACAUGACUUUUCCACUUUCCUUUUAUGUUCUGUUGAGGCUUUCCUUCAACAAAAGAACAAGAAACGGAUUUCAGAAUGGAUCCCCCUCUGAGACAAGUGAAGUCAUAGCAGUCUGCUUUUCUGAUUUCUUUUUCAGCAAUAUUUCCUCAAUAUUAUCAACUUAGAACGUAAG
This is a long non-coding RNA of Hippocampus comes (tiger tail seahorse), 608 nucleotides long. RefSeq lists it as uncharacterized. Lineage: Eukaryota; Metazoa; Chordata; Actinopteri; Syngnathiformes; Syngnathidae. The record is from RefSeq and is a predicted model, not a curated record. The transcript is spliced from 3 exons.